GACGAACGCUGGCGGCGUGCUUAACACAUGCAAGUCGUACGGUAAGGCCCUUUCGGGGGUCCACGAGUGGCGAACGGGUGAGUAACACGUGAGUAACCUGCCCACAACUUUGGGAUAACGCUAGGAAACUGGUGCUAAUACUGGAUAUGUGCUGCUGCUGCAUGGUGGGGGUUGGAAAGCUCCGGCGGUUGUGGAUGGACUCGCGGCCUAUCAGCUUGUUGGUGGGGUAGUGGCCUACCAAGGCGGCGACGGGUAGCCGGCCUGAGAGGGUGACCGGCCACAUUGGGACUGAGAUACGGCCCAGACUCCUACGGGAGGCAGCAGUGGGGAAUAUUGCACAAUGGGCGCAAGCCUGAUGCAGCAACGCCGCGUGCGGGAUGACGGCCUUCGGGUUGUAAACCGCUUUCAGCAGGGACGAAGCUUUUUGUGACGGUACCUGCAGAAGAAGCACCGGCUAACUACGUG
This 465-nucleotide ribosomal RNA is filed under the name uncultured bacterium. RNAcentral's name for it is "partial 16S ribosomal RNA". It matches the Rfam family "Bacterial small subunit ribosomal RNA", at positions 28 to 507 of the family's 1533-position model. The record is from RNAcentral.